AUUUUAAAGCAGCAGAGGCAGGUGUUCUGUGAUUUGCUGGAAGAAGUUUGUUAAGGAUUAUAAAUAGGGCAAGAUUUACCCUUUCUCUGAAAUUCAAAAUCCUUGCAAGUACCAUGGCUGGGAAUUUAAAGGAAAUCAUCUGAAAGUUGAACAUUUGUCUUCACCAUGGUUUUCCAAAUGAAAGGGAAACUGUCUCGGCAAAAACGCAUCAACUUUCAGAGACCGAGCAAAGCUGGUGAAAGCGACCCGGAUGUUCAUGCGAAUGUAAACUCCAUUUGUCUCGCUCACCAUUGUGAUACCAGAGCUGAACAGGUUAACGAAAGCUUCAGGUUUUCAAGGCAUACAAGGCCCACGUGGAGAAGUGCAGGAGGGCUCAGACAUUGCUAUGAGCUUCUGAAGUGAAAUGACCCCAGGAGCGUGACCGAUAGAGAGCUCUCCAAGCGUGUCCUACCAGGACCUUUGUCACUAGUGAAUUGAUCACCUCCCGAUGAUUCUUUCCAACUGAGUUAAGAGAUUUCUGGAGCCUCUCGCCAUGGUCAGAACAUCCCAAGAGUGACCAAGAACGGGGGCUUUCUGUUCUAGUCCCUCGGGCAAAGACAAAGCAGAUGAGCCCGGCUAAGUUGUUAGGAGGUGCUGUAGGGAAGGGAAGAACCAGGGAUGGUUAAUCACACGAGUGUGUCCCCUGCGGCUGCACCCAGCGUGCCAGGGGUUUGCGGUAGCAAAGGGGGCCAGCUGGAACUCUAGAGCUGGAAUUCGGUGUGAGUCUUGCCAGAUGCCCAGGGGAAAAUUCCCCCUGAAGACAGCAGGUCUAAGAGUGAGACAGGUAGCGCUUUCCUGCCACCUUGCACCCUGAAAAGGCGAGCCAGGGUCACAGACAGGAACCAAAGGAGGUCAGUCUCUUCGUAGGAAGAUGAGCAAUCAACACAGUGAAAAAGAAAAGAAAAAACAGAAAAAGUCUGAUGUUUUACACCUAAAAUUAAUAUGCUAGAUAUCUCGAUAAAACCGGAGAGAAAAAAAGAGGCGGGGUCAACACUCCAACCCCGCGGAAGCUGAGUGGCUUCCGUGGUGCGCUCUCAACCGCACGGGCCAGGUUGAAGAGGGUUGUUUCACGGUCUGCGUGUGAAUAAGGGACAUUUUUACUGAAAAAAAAGGCAGAAGGAUUCAUUUUCAAGUUAAGAAUGGGCCCAUUUUACGGCCGAAGCAAUGCUCUGGUUAACAACUCAGUUAUCUUGGGGAAAGAGUAAACUGGCCUCCACCCCUCUCCAUUUCCAGCAUUUUGGGGAAAAGAAAGGCUGAGAUAAAAUGCUUUAUUUGCUCUCAUGCUCCACUGUGGGCAGGAGAUCAUACAUCAGUCAGAAACCUUUUUUUUUUUUUUAAACAAGAAAUCAAGUAAACCAGAAGGAAUUUAUGCACAGGAGGCUCCCUUUUGCUAGAAAAGGAGUAUUAUUAACAAAAAAAUGGAAUGGUGCCCCUCUCUCCAUUUUCCUCCUGUCCUUCCCUCCUCUCAUCUAUCACCCGCUACUGCAGUGGGAAACCACUGCGGUGAGUAAGAUGUGACAUCUGAGCCCCGUUGGAUGCCUCUGUAUCCAACAGCUGUUACUGAGAGUGGAUUACAGCUCGUCUAAAUGGUAGGUUCCCAUGCAAAAGAAUUGUUCUUAGACUGCAGAACUGACCACAGUUACUGAUGAUGGGUUGGGAUAGAUCGUGAGGAGAGAGUCAGCAAGGAUCAAUGAAUCCAGUCAUGUUAUUACAGUUUAUAAUGUGGGCUUCCACUAAGUAUUUGUUUCCUAAAAUUGAUUCCCUCUGGGGAUUCUUUCUCUCUUAGCCCAUUUAUUUAUUUAUUUAUUUAUUUAUUUUUGCGGUACGCGGGCCUCUCACUGCUGCGGCCUCUUCCGCUGCAGAGCACAGGCUCCGGACGCGCAGGCUCAGCGGCCAUGGCUCACGGGCCCAGCCGCUCCGCGGCAUGUGGGAUCCUCCCGGACCGGGGCACGAACCCAUGUCCCCUGCAUCGGCAGGCGGACUCCCAACCACUGUGCCACCAGGGAAGCCCCUCUUAGCCCUUUUAGAAAAUUGAUGCAAACAGAUUUCUCCUUCAUUUCUAGAGGAAGUCUUCCUUCCUGUUGCUGGGAGGACAUUGUGGGUGGUAGCAGACCACAAGGCAGUGGGUCCCUUUAUUAGCCUGUCUGUUCCAGAGCACAGAAGUCCGACAUCUUUGUUUCUUUCCAUUGCUCAAGAUGCUCCGACCCGUUAUCCCUCUUUUUCUUUGCUCAGGUCUCUCUGUGGAGCUGGCGAGGCUCUCUGGUGAUGCUCAGUGGCUAUGGUGGAAUGUGCAGGUGAAAUUAACACUUUCACGGCUACCGAUUUUCCUUAACAGAGCUGUGGAGUGUGACAAUGGUGUUUGUGUCCAAACCAUCAAACGCCAUUAUCACACUAAAUAGCUACUGUUAGGCCAUCCUUCCGCUCACUAAAUGCCUUGACAUCUGUUUGGUAGGGGCAAGAAGGUUCAUCUUAUAGCAGUGCUCCCAGGCCUGUGUAAUUACUGAGGAAAUUCUGGUCCUUUUGUGCUCAUAACCAAUAUGUCAUCUGAAUGUUGCCUCUCAUAUGCUGUUGUUAAAUAAUUUAGCUGAUGAUGAAUUUUCUUGUCUUCCUGAGUCAAUAAAAAGAUUGCAGCGUCCCCCAGAGCACCCAGCACAAGGCUAGGCAUGUGGUAAUUGUUCAACCCAUGCUUAUGGAAAACUAAAACCGGUUUAUAUCUAGGUUUCGUAAAACCCAUGCUUAUAGGUAAAAAAUUAAGUUGUGGGGGUCUUCUACUUGUCAUCAUAAAAAGACAACUUCUUAAUAAACUUAUACGUGGCCUAACUGACCUUUCAGAAAUUCUAGAACAUGUUUGAUUUCUACUGAUUUUAAUCAAUUACCAGGCUGAUUACUGAAUUUGUAUACAAGGUCCUUCUUCUUUAUGUUUCGAUGAAUUUCCAUCAGGAAAUUAUACAUGAACUGUGUGUGGGCUGUCAUAGCAAAUCCAAACAUUUUAAACCCAAUGUAGCUUCUGGGACACUUGGACCAGCCGGGUGGUCUGGUUUGAAACACAUUCUUUCUCUGAGAGGUGUUUAAAGUAAGAAGUAGGUUCUGUUUAUGCUGGGCUAAAACUUCUCUCCCGUGACUUGGCUAAAUGAACUAGUAUAUGUUUAAUCAAAAUGAAAGGAUUGGAGGGACCAUCAGAGGCCAGUUCAUUCAACCCUUCAU
Orcinus orca (killer whale) is the source of this 3243-nucleotide long non-coding RNA. RefSeq lists it as uncharacterized. NCBI's taxonomy places the organism in Eukaryota, Metazoa, Chordata, Mammalia, Artiodactyla, Delphinidae. The record is from RefSeq and is a predicted model, not a curated record. The transcript is spliced from 3 exons.